RNAcentral lists this ribosomal RNA (253 nucleotides) under uncultured bacterium. RNAcentral's name for it is "partial 16S ribosomal RNA". It matches the Rfam family "Bacterial small subunit ribosomal RNA", at positions 524 to 776 of the family's 1533-position model. The record is from RNAcentral.
AACGUAGGUACCGAGCGUUAUCCGGAUUUACUGGGCGUAAAGCGUGUUCAGGCGGCCUGGCAAGUCGGGCAUGAAAUCUCUCGGCUCAACCGAGAGAGGCUGUCCGAUACUGCUGGGCUUGAGGACGGUAGAGGGUGGUGGAAUUCCGCGUGUAGUGGUGAAAUGCGUAGAUAUGCGGAGGAACACCAGUGGCGAAGGCGGCCACCUGGACCGUCCCUGACGCUCAAACACGAAAGCUAGGGUAGCGAAUGGG